RNAcentral lists this transfer RNA (80 nucleotides) under Sphaerodactylus townsendi. Its description in RNAcentral is "tRNA-Ala". It matches the Rfam family "tRNA". From Rfam's summary of the family: Transfer RNA (tRNA) molecules are approximately 80 nucleotides in length. Their secondary structure includes four short double-helical elements and three loops (D, anti-codon, and T loops). The record is from RNAcentral. Lineage: Eukaryota; Metazoa; Chordata; Lepidosauria; Squamata; Sphaerodactylidae.
GGAGGUGAGCGGCUGUGGCUCGGUGGCAGAGCUUCCGCCUGGCACAUAGAAGGCCCCUGGUUCAAUUCCCGGCAUCUCCA